This 2047-nucleotide ribosomal RNA is filed under the name human gut metagenome. Its description in RNAcentral is "bacterial LSU rRNA". It matches the Rfam family "Bacterial large subunit ribosomal RNA", at positions 1 to 1991 of the family's 2925-position model. The record is from RNAcentral.
GCAAGAUACCACGGGCGCACGGCGGAUGCCUUGGCACAGGGAGCCGAUGAAGGACGCGGCAAGCUGCGAUAAUCCCCGGCGAGGAGCACACAUCCUUCGACCCGGGGGUCUCCGAAUGGGCGAACCCAUCCACAGCAGUGUGGAUAUCCCCACCCCGAACACAUAAGGGUGGGGAGGACAACCCGGGGAACUGAAACAUCUAAGUACCCGGAGGAGAGGAAAUCAAUCUCGAGACUCCCCGAGUAGCGGCGAGCGAAAGGGGACCGAUGGCCAAACCGUCGAGCGGGCGUACCCGGCAGGGGUUCCGCCGGCGGGGUUGCAGGGCCGCGCAUCCGGGGGCUGCCGCCCCCGGGCGCAGGUCCGGCUGGGGAGCGGAACGGCAUGGGAGGGCCGGCCGCAGCGGGUGACAGCCCCGUACGCGAACCCAGACCGGACGGCGCGACGCGGUCCCUGAGUAGGGCCGGGCACGUGAAACCCGGUCCGAACCUGGGUGGACCACCAUCCAAGCCUGAGUACUACCCUGUGACCGAUAGCGCACCAGUACCGUGAGGGAAAGGUGAAAAGCACCCCGGGAGGGGAGUGAAACAGUACCUGAAACCGUGCGCCCACGAGCAGUCGGAGCACCUAUAUGGUGUGACGGCGUGCCUUUUGUAGAAUGAGCCAGCGAGUCGCUGGCGCGGGGCGAGGUUAACCGAAAGGGAGCCGGAGCGAAAGCGAGCCUUAACAGGGCGACUUGAGUCCCGCGCCGCGGACGCGAAGCCGGGUGAGCUAUCCGUGGGCAGGCUGAAGCGGGGGUAAGACCCCGUGGAGGGCCGAACGCACGUCGGUUGAAAACGGCGGCGAUGACCUGCGGAUAGGGGUGAAAGGCCAAUCAAACCCGGAGAUAUCUCGUUCUCCCCGAAAUAGCUUUAGGGCUAGCGUCGCGCGUUCACCGCCGGAGGUAGAGCACCGGAUGGACGAGGGGGCUUCGCCGCCUACCGAAUCCAACCGAACUCCGAAUGCCGGCGGCCCAGAGCGCGGCAGUCAGAGCAUGUGGGCUAAGCUGUGUGCUCGAGAGGGAAACAGCCCGGACCGCCCGCUAAGGUCCCCAAGUUCCAGCCGAGUGGCAAAGGAUGUGCGUCCGCCCAGACAACCAGGAUGUUGGCUUAGAAGCAGCCAUGCAUUCAAAGAGUGCGUAACAGCUCACUGGUCGAGUGGACAUGCGCCGACAAUACACGGGGCUAAGCUGGACACCGAAGCGGCGGGAUUUUAUCUAUAUAGAAUCGGUAGGGGAGCUUCCCAUGGGCGGGGAAGCCGCCGGGCGACCGGCGGUGGAGCGCAUGGGAGUGAGAAUGCUGGCAUGAGUAGCGAGAGACGAGAGAGUAACUCGUCCGCCGUGAACCCGAGGUUUCCUGGGCAAGGCUAAUCCUCCCAGGGUCAGUCGGGGGCUAAGGCGAGGCCGGGAGGCGUAGCCGACGCGCAGCAGGCAGACAUUCCUGCACCGCGCACGCGGCGCUACGACCGACGGGGCGACGGAUGGGGGUGGCUCGGCGGGGUUCUGGACGUCCCCGUGAUGGAGCGCGGCCCGCGGACCAGGGAAAUCCGGUCCGCACGAGGGCGAGGCUCCGGACGAAGCACUUAAGCGAAGCGAGUGAGCCCGAGGUCCCUAGAAAAACCCCUAGGCAGGCGCGUGCGCGCCCGUACCGCAAACCGACACAGGUGGGUGGGUAGAACAUACCGAGGCGAUCGGGUCAACCAUGGUCAAGGAACUCGGCACAAUGGCCCCGUAACUUCGGGAGAAGGGGUGCCCGCGCGUACGUGAACGGACUUGCUCCGGGAGCGGAGGCGGGCCGCAGUGGAGAGGCCCAAGCGACUGUUUACCAAAAACACAGGACUCUGCAGAAGCCGCAAGGCGACGUAUAGGGUCUGACGCCUGCCCGGUGCCGGAAGGUCACGCGGAGGAGUUAGCCGCAAGGCGAAGCCCCGAAGCCAAGCCCCGGUAAACGGCGGCCGUAACUAUAACGGUCCUAAGGUAGCGAAAUUCCUUGUCGGGUAAGUUCCGACCUGC